This 224-nucleotide ribosomal RNA is filed under the name Enterobacter hormaechei subsp. oharae. RNAcentral's name for it is "partial 23S ribosomal RNA". It matches the Rfam family "Bacterial large subunit ribosomal RNA", at positions 1 to 217 of the family's 2925-position model. The record is from RNAcentral. Lineage: Bacteria; Pseudomonadati; Pseudomonadota; Gammaproteobacteria; Enterobacterales; Enterobacteriaceae.
GGGUUGUGAGGUUAAGCGACUAAGCGUACACGGUGGAUGCCCUGGCAGUCAGAGGCGAUGAAGGACGUGCUAAUCUGCGAAAAGCGCCGGCGAGGUGAUAUGAACCUUUGACCCGGCGAUGUCCGAAUGGGGAAACCCAGUGUGUUCCGACACACUAUCGUUAACUGAAUACAUAGGUUAACGAGGCGAACCGGGGGAACUGAAACAUCUAAGUACCCCGAGGA